AUUGAACGCUGGCGGCAGGCUUAACACAUGCAAGUCGAGCGAGCGGCGGACGGGUGAGUAAUGUCUGGGAAACUGCCUGAUGGAGGGGGAUAACUACUGGAAACGGUAGCUAAUACCGCAUACCAUCAGAUGUGCCCAGAUGGGAUUAGCUAGUAGGGGGGGUAAUGGCUCACCUAGGCGACGAUCCCUAGCUGGUCUGAGAGGAUGACCAGCCACACUGGGACUGAGACACGGUCCAGACUCCUACGGGAGGCAGCAGUGGGGAAUCUUGGACAAUGGGCGCAAGCCUGAUGCAGCCAUGCCGCGUGGGUGAAGAAGGUCUUCGGGUUGUAAAGCACUGUCAGCAGGGAAGCGGUACUCGCAGAAGAAGCACCGGCUAACUCCGUGCCAGCAGCCGCGGUAAUUC
This 406-nucleotide ribosomal RNA is filed under the name uncultured bacterium. RNAcentral's name for it is "partial 16S ribosomal RNA". It matches the Rfam family "Bacterial small subunit ribosomal RNA", at positions 30 to 526 of the family's 1533-position model. The record is from RNAcentral.